This 384-nucleotide transfer-messenger RNA is filed under the name Novosphingobium capsulatum. The stretch from base 1 to 345 matches the Rfam family "Alphaproteobacteria transfer-messenger RNA". Rfam says of the family: Bacterial tmRNA, also known as 10Sa RNA or SsrA, is named for its dual tRNA and mRNA-like properties. Lineage: Bacteria; Pseudomonadati; Pseudomonadota; Alphaproteobacteria; Sphingomonadales; Sphingomonadaceae. The record is from RNAcentral.
GGUCUUCCCAUCGCCGCGCGAAUGCCUAUAUGGGGCUCUGCCGGGUUUGACCCGGCUAUGACGAUAAACUGCGGCGUGCAAUAGACGCAGCGGACCCGGGGGCGGUACCCGGCGGCUCCACCACCUUUUCCGUUCGCGCGGAACAGAUGACGGGGCCGAACUAGGAUCGACGUGUGUUGAAAAGCGCUGUUUUCGUCCGGGCUGAGUAACCCGUUAAAGGCUCAAAACUCACAAGUGCCAACGACAACGAAGCACUUGCUCUCGCCGCGUAAUCUGACGGCCUAACGGCCUGAUCUUACAAAGCGAAAGCGCGGUUGGACACACCGGUCAACAGAAGUGAUACCAGCGGCCCGGGGGGUGCCGGGCAACAGAAAUCCCCCCACC